Molecule: ribosomal RNA, 617 nt
Filed under: uncultured cyanobacterium
Lineage: Bacteria; Bacillati; Cyanobacteriota
Description: bacterial SSU rRNA
Rfam family: Bacterial small subunit ribosomal RNA
Source: RNAcentral
ACCACUGGAAACGGUGGCUAAUACCCAAUGUGCCGAGAGGUGAAAGGCUUGCUGCCUGAAGAAGAGCUUGCGUCUGAUUAGCUAGUUGGUGGGGUAAGAGCCUACCAAGGCGACGAUCAGUAGCUGGUCUGAGAGGAUGAUCAGCCACACUGGGACUGAGACACGGCCCAGACUCCUACGGGAGGCAGCAGUGGGGAAUUUUCCGCAAUGGGCGAAAGCCUGACGGAGCAAUACCGCGUGAGGGAGGAAGGCUCUUGGGUUGUAAACCUCUUUUCUCAGGGAAGAACAGAAUGACGGUACCUGAGGAAUAAGCAUCGGCUAACUCCGUGCCAGCAGCCGCGGUAAUACGGAGGAUGCAAGCGUUAUCCGGAAUGAUUGGGCGUAAAGGGUCCGCAGGUGGCAUUGUAAGUCUGCUGUUAAAGAGUCACGCUCAACGUGAUAAAAGCAGUGGAAACUACAAAGCUAGAGUAUGGUCGGGGCAGAGGGAAUUCCUGGUGUAGCGGUGAAAUGCGUAGAUAUCAGGAAGAACACCGGUGGCGAAGGCGCUCUGCUAGGCCAAAACUGACACUGAGGGACGAAAGCUAGGGGAGCGAAUGGGAUUAGAUACCCCAGUAGUC